Molecule: unclassified non-coding RNA, 800 nt
Filed under: Hevea brasiliensis (rubber tree)
Lineage: Eukaryota; Viridiplantae; Streptophyta; Magnoliopsida; Malpighiales; Euphorbiaceae
Source: RNAcentral
GAAAGUUCUUUUUCAGCAGCAUAUUUUCACUGCUAUCAAUCCAGAUUUCAAAUUUGGCUUCCUGUGCACAUUUCAACCUGUAUAUCGGUGUAUAAAAUAUGUAUAUAGCUGGUAGACAGCUUCUCAACAUCUGCAAAUUUAAUUUUCAGCACUGCAUCUGCUGGUUUCACAACCUGUACGCCAGUUAUGAGGGGGGUCUACGACUCGAAGAAGAUGUUUUGAGCCUUUAUGGCUCAAUGAGGAAGUGCAACAAGAUGGAUUAAAGUCCAUGAGGACUCGAGGAGAAUUUCCCAUGCAAUAAAACAAACAAAAGGAGAAUUAGCACCUUAAUCAAAUGAUUAGAACAAAACAAAAAUAGAAGAUGUGAGCUACUUAGAAAAUAUGAGCUAGAAAAGGGAUACGAAAUCUCAAUAUAUAUCCCAUAUGAAAGCAAAACAGGGGACUAUGGAGCACUAAACAAAUGUUCAAAAGAAUAAAGCAAAGCCAUCAUCCAUCUAGAUUAUUAGUGAUAAUUUAAGGCUAUAUAAACCAUUUCAAACCCAAAGAAAACCAUGUGACAGUGAGCAGCAAACAGACUGCAGAUCAAGCACAGAGGGGCAUUGAUCCCUUUCCAUCGUUUAAGCCACUGAACACAUAUAAAGGGCAUAUACGCGAAAACCACUCGAUAACCAAAAUCACGAUAAAGAGAAGGCUUAGCUGUAGGACGAAGAGUAAAUUCCUCCUCCAAGAUAGCCACAACUCGAACAUGUAAAUGCUUCUACCCCCAUACGACAACUGUUUUAGAGCAGCCAACCGGAACA